CGGGAUGUGGCGCAGUUUGGUCAGCGCGCUUCGUUCGGGACGAAGAGGUCGCAAGUUCAAAUCUUGUCAUCCCGACCA
Molecule: transfer RNA, 78 nt
Filed under: Bacteroidales bacterium
Lineage: Bacteria; Pseudomonadati; Bacteroidota; Bacteroidia; Bacteroidales
Description: tRNA-Pro
Rfam family: tRNA
About the family: Transfer RNA (tRNA) molecules are approximately 80 nucleotides in length.
Source: RNAcentral